RNAcentral lists this ribosomal RNA (519 nucleotides) under Lodderomyces metapsilosis. Its description in RNAcentral is "eukaryotic LSU rRNA". It matches the Rfam family "Eukaryotic large subunit ribosomal RNA", at positions 123 to 658 of the family's 3401-position model. Lineage: Eukaryota; Fungi; Ascomycota; Pichiomycetes; Serinales; Debaryomycetaceae. The record is from RNAcentral.
UGGCACUUUCAGUGUCCGAGUUGUAAUUUGAAGAAGGUAUCUUUGGGUCUGGCUCUUGUCUAUGUUUCUUGGAACAGAACGUCACAGAGGGUGAGAAUCCCGUGCGAUGAGAUGACCCAGACCUAUGUAAAGUUCCUUCGAAGAGUCGAGUUGUUUGGGAAUGCAGCUCUAAGUGGGUGGUAAAUUCCAUCUAAAGCUAAAUAUUGGCGAGAGACCGAUAGCGAACAAGUACAGUGAUGGAAAGAUGAAAAGAACUUUGAAAAGAGAGUGAAAAAGUACGUGAAAUUGUUGAAAGGGAAGGGCUUGAGAUCAGACUUGGUAUUUUGUAUGUUACUCUUUCGGGGGUGGCCUCUACAGUUUACCGGGCCAGCAUCAGUUUGGGCGGUAGGAGAAUUGCAAAGAAAUGUGGCACUGCUUCGGUAGUGUGUUAUAGUCUUUGUCGAUACUGCCAGCCUAGACUGAGGACUGCGGCUUCGGCCUAGGAUGUUGGCAUAAUGAUCUUAAGUCGCCCGUCUUGAA